UGGGGAAUUUUGGACAAUGGGCGCAAGCCUGAUCCAGCAAUGCCGCGUGCAGGAUGAAGGCCUUCGGGUUGUAAACUGCUUUUGUACGGAACGAAACGGCUCUGUCUAAUACAUGGGGCUAAUGACGGUACCGGAAGAAUAAGCACCGGCUAACUACGUGCCAGCAGCCGCGGUAAUACGUAGGGUGCAAGCGUUAAUCGGAAUUACUGGGCGUAAAGCGUGCGCAGGCGGUUGUGUAAGUCAGAUGUGAAAUCCCCGGGCUCAACCUGGGAAUUGCAUUUGAGACUGCACGGCUAGAGUGUGUCAGAGGGGGGUAGAAUUCCACGUGUAGCAGUGAAAUGCGUAGAUAUGUGGAGGAACACCGAUGGCGAAGGCAGCCCCCUGGGUCAAGAUUGACGCUCAUGCACGAAAGCGUGGGGAGCAAACA
Molecule: ribosomal RNA, 427 nt
Filed under: uncultured bacterium
Lineage: Bacteria
Description: bacterial SSU rRNA
Rfam family: Bacterial small subunit ribosomal RNA
Source: RNAcentral